Molecule: ribosomal RNA, 1343 nt
Filed under: uncultured bacterium
Lineage: Bacteria
Description: 16S ribosomal RNA
Rfam family: Bacterial small subunit ribosomal RNA
Source: RNAcentral
GACGAACGCUGGCGGCGUGCUUAACACAUGCAAGUCGAACGGAAAGGCCCUGCUUUUGUGGGGUGCUCGAGUGGCGAACGGGUGAGUAACACGUGAGUAACCUGCCCUUGACUUUGGGAUAACUUCAGGAAACUGGGGCUAAUACCGGAUAGGAGCUCCUGCUGCAUGGUGGGGGUUGGAAAGUUUCGGCGGUUGGGGAUGGACUCGCGGCUUAUCAGCUUGUUGGUGGGGUAGUGGCCUACCAAGGCUUUGACGGGUAGCCGGCCUGAGAGGGUGACCGGCCACAUUGGGACUGAGAUACGGCCCAGACUCCUACGGGAGGCAGCAGUGGGGAAUAUUGCACAAUGGGCGGAAGCCUGAUGCAGCAACGCCGCGUGCGGGAUGACGGCCUUCGGGUUGUAAACCGCUUUCGCCUGUGACGAAGCGUGAGUGACGGUAAUGGGUAAAGAAGCACCGGCUAACUACGUGCCAGCAGCCGCGGUGAUACGUAGGGUGCGAGCGUUGUCCGGAUUUAUUGGGCGUAAAGGGCUCGUAGGUGGUUGAUCGCGUCGGAAGUGUAAUCUUGGGGCUUAACCCUGAGCGUGCUUUCGAUACGGGUUGACUUGAGGAAGGUAGGGGAGAAUGGAAUUCCUGGUGGAGCGGUGGAAUGCGCAGAUAUCAGGAGGAACACCAGUGGCGAAGGCGGUUCUCUGGGCCUUUCCUGACGCUGAGGAGCGAAAGCGUGGGGAGCGAACAGGCUUAGAUACCCUGGUAGUCCACGCUGUAAACGGUGGGUACUAGGUGUGGGGUCCAUUCCACGGGUUCCGUGCCGUAGCUAACGCUUUAAGUACCCCGCCUGGGGAGUACGGCCGCAAGGCUAAAACUCAAAGGAAUUGACGGGGCCCCGCGCAAGCGGCGGAGCAUGCGGAUUAAUUCGAUGCAACGCGUAGAACCUUACCUGGGUUUGACAUGGAUCGGGAGCGCUCAGAGAUGGGUGUGCCUCUUUUGGGGUCGGUUCACAGGUGGUGCAUGGCUGUCGUCAGCUCGUGUCGUGAAAUGUUGGGUUAAGUCCCGCAACGAGCGCAACCCUUGUUCACUGUUGCCAGCACGUUAUGGUGGGGACUCAGUGGAGACCGCCGGGGUCAACUCGGAGGAAGGUGGGGAUGACGUCAAGUCAUCAUGCCCCUUAUGUCCAGGGCUUCACGCAUGCUACAAUGGCUGGUACAGAGAGUGGCGAGCCUGUGAGGGUGAGCGAAUCUCGGAAAGCCGGUCUCAGUUCGGAUUGGGGUCUGCAACUCGACCUCAUGAAGUCGGAGUCGCUAGUAAUCGCAGAUCAGCAACGCUGCGGUGAAUACGUUCCCGGG